GGAUGAACGCUGGCGGCGUGCUUAACACAUGCAAGUCGAACGAUGAAGCCCAGCUUGCUGGGUGGAUUAGUGGCGAACGGGUGAGUAACACGUGAGUAACCUGCCCUUGACUCUGGGAUAAGCCUGGGAAACUGGGUCUAAUACUGGAUAUGACUUCUCAUCGCAUGGUGGGGGGUGGAAAGAUUUAUUGGUCUUGGAUGGACUCGCGGCCUAUCAGCUUGUUGGUGAGGUAAUGGCUCACCAAGGCGACGACGGGUAGCCGGCCUGAGAGGGUGACCGGCCACACUGGGACUGAGACACGGCCCAGACUCCUACGGGAGGCAGCAGUGGGGAAUAUUGCACAAUGGGCGCAAGCCUGAUGCAGCGACGCCGCGUGAGGGAUGACGGCCUUCGGGUUGUAAACCUCUUUCAGUAGGGAAGAAGCGAGAGUGACGGUACCUGCAGAAGAAGCGCCGGCUAACUACGUG
RNAcentral lists this ribosomal RNA (467 nucleotides) under uncultured bacterium. RNAcentral describes it as "partial 16S ribosomal RNA". It matches the Rfam family "Bacterial small subunit ribosomal RNA", at positions 27 to 507 of the family's 1533-position model. The record is from RNAcentral.